This 4038-nucleotide long non-coding RNA is filed under the name Canis lupus familiaris (dog). Its description in RNAcentral is "lncRNA (ENSCAFG00030005567.1)". The record is from RNAcentral. Lineage: Eukaryota; Metazoa; Chordata; Mammalia; Carnivora; Canidae.
AUGGGCCCAGAGGAGCACAAGGUGAGUGGACCAGAUGGAAGGAAGAGUCAAGAGCUUCCAAGAGGAGCCAGGACUCAGCAGGGAUGCCAAAGUUCCAAGGCUCAGCACACAGGGAGGAAUGAGAGGAGCUCCAGAGGGUCCUACAUGGGGUUUGGUGAGCAGUUCUGGGUUUCCAGAGGCCCCUCUGGGUGCUGUGCAGGAGGGCUGAUGGUGGGGGCAGUGGAGGUGGGAUGGGCAGCAGGUAGGGAGGGAGGGUGGGCAGCGGCUCCAGGGGACAGGGGGCAUGAAGGGAGAGGCUGGGGGUGCUGGGCUGCAGCAGGAGCUGGGUGGAGGGACCGAGGACCCCCAUGUGCACGUGGGCGAGCUCCCAGGCCCCAGCCAUGCAGACACUACCUACCCUUUCAGCUGUACAGAGGGGAGCAGCCAUUUCCUGGCUACCCCUCAGAUCACCAGAAGCCCAAAUAUGGCCUGCGGUGGGCCUGUGGGUCAGGUGUGACCUGUCACAGAAGGGGGUGGUGGGGAGAAGUGUCACAGAGUACCAGCCCCAGAGGGACUUUGGAUGUGGUGGUGUUAUUGGUUGUUGUCAUGAUGGGGGUGAUGGGCACUCCUGCCUGGGGGGUGGGUGGAGCCAGGGGUCAAUGCCUAGGGCAGCCCACUUGCCCACCCACCAUGUCUGUCUAAGUCAGGCACCUGCACAUGCCGGACUCAAGGGAAGGACGGGGGGUGGAACAGAGGAACUCCUUGGCAGGACCCAUGUGACAUGGGGCUUUCCUGGGAUGGUGUCCAGGCAGUGGAGAAUGACAGAGUCCCCGAACUCAGGAUCCCAGGGUGCCCCGGUCCUGGGCCACGCCCAAGGAAAUGCCCCACACUCAGGCUGUCCUGCACAUGGCCUCAGUGACCAUCCACAAGGGACUCAAGAGGAGCAGAUGCAGUAUACACAUGCUGGGAGGGCCCAAUCCUUGGCCCCCACCCCCGUGGGGCCCUCAGGCCAUGUGCUGGCAGCUUUCCAUGGCCCCUAGAAGGAGAGCUCAACUCCCACAUGGUGCACCACACCCCUACAGUCACCUCUUCUCUGCACUCCAGCUACACAGGCCCCUUUGCAGUGGCCGUGCAUGCAGGUCCAGGCCAUUCCAAACCUCAGGGCCUUUGCACUUGCUAUUCCCUCUGCCCAGAAGGCUCCUCCCCAGACCUCUGCAAGGCCCACAAACUAUAACUGCUGACAUGACACCUGUCACUAUAUCUGCUGUGCAUCACCCCCACAAACUAGAUCUGCUGACAUGUCACCUCCUCCUGUAAGUCCUUUCCAAUGCCCUGGCCAGAGCAUUGCUGUGACUCGCCUAAUUUUAUCUUCCAUGAAGCACCUCUGACUACAGCGCCUAGAAUGACCUGGUGUUAUCAAGAGUGCUCCUCUUACCCCUGAGACCCCGCCUGGCAGGACCGACAAGCGACAGGGUGGGAGGCCUGGGGGGGUGGGGCUAAAGUCCAGCUCCCUGCUGAGCUCCCCAAGCCAGCGGCGCCUGCGCACAGGGGGCUGCAUUAUCCCAGGGGCAGGAACCCAAGGGGCUGGGCAGGUGGGGUGGGGUGGGGCCAGGACCAGUCACCUGGCAUCACUCUUUCUCCUGCCUUCCACUUGGGACAGCAGAGUCUGAGAAUUCGGUCAAAUCUGGAGGUUCAUCCAAAUCAGACCCUCCCCAAAGUCACCACAGAAGAGAUGGCAGCAAAGGUGCCUCCUCCAAGCCCCUCCAUAGCACACGGUGUGGAUGGCCAGCCGAAGGUCUGGGAUUCUGAGACUCAGGAAGGCAAGAGGCCUGGCCAUGCCCCAGCUCUUCUUGGGGAAGAGCUGUCUCCUGUGGAAGCCUCAGUCUGCUCAUACAAGGAAAGGGGCCCACGCUGGCAGCAGCCAUGGCUCAUGUGGUCAAGUUUAUUUGUGUUUAUGUCUGAGCCAAGCAUUCUCAAUCUGGGAUGCUCUCGAGGGUGCCCUGAAGUUAUGCAUAAAUGCAGGAGUGAGGGUCCCAGCACUCACAUGGGUCUCUAAGAGGACUCUGGCCUCCCAAGGGUUACAUUCCACAGAUCACCCCUAAAGAUGGGGAAGUUGCCUAUCCCUCACAUGUGAGGAAAUGAGGCCAGACUCCUCGAGAACCAGACUUGAAAGUUACCUAUAACCAGGACCCAAACCUGCUGGCCAGAUGCAGCUGUGGCACAGCAGCAUCAGCCCCAAGUGCCCGUUCACCAAGCUGCCGAACCCCUGGCCACAGCCCUGUGCCAGGAUCAACGCUGGCUCUGAAUCUACAGCAAAACUCAGUUCUCUCCAGGUUUCCCGGCCCCUUUAGAACAGCAAUAUGCUACUUAAAUGUGUAUUUUUAUUACUUUCUCUAUUAUAAGUAAAAAUAUUGUAAUGCCAUCUGAUGAUCCGCCAGCUGUCUAUGUGGGAACCGGUGGCGCCAUUCCGGAGUGAAACUCGGGCGGGCGGGCAAGCGCGGUGUGCUGUCUGGGGAGGCGCAUUUGGAUUUCUGCUUAGGUUGGCCCCACAUAUGCCAGGCCACAUGUUCCCAGUCUGGGAACCGGAUAAUUGUGCCCAUUUAUCUUGUUGUAGUUGAAAGUGCAAACAUUAUAAAAAUCACACGAGUGUUAGUGGUGGUUUAGGGGGAGGUAGAGGUGCAGACAGACCGUGCAGGCAGGACAGCAGCCGUGGUGCUGGUGAGUGCAGGGGGGCAUGGGGCACCGCGGCCCGGACCCCUCCUCACCCCGGCCCUGGCAGUACCACCGCGAGGGCGGCUCCCGGACAGACAGCUAGGGUAGGCACACUCCUGACAAACGGAUCUGCGGUUAAUAACGGGAAAGACGGCGUGGCCGUGGCCAAGUGAAGACAACGGUUUCUUAUCUAGACCGGAGGUUGCAAGCCGAGCCUGUAGGACAAAUCUGGCCAAUGCGAAUUUUUUUAAACAUCUUUGAAAUAGUUGCCAACAUUCGGAAAUCAAGAGAUGUUAUAAACUCAUCUAGACUUCUGAUUUCUCUCAAAAAGCCCAAACCACUGGCAGAUCUGAGCCCUGGCCUCUGCCUGACGAAAAUGAGCCCGUCUCCCCAGGCCCCAUACAGCCUGAGGGGAGGUGACCAGGGCGCCAGCCCCUGGGGACCAGAAAGGAACCCGGGGUGUCCCUGUGGCAAGCCUAGCCUCAGCCCUGAUUCACUAAGGGGUCUCGGGGGCCCUCAGCAGGACACAAAGGACCUCCAAGGUCAGCCCCACCUGUUGGGAUGGCUCUCCGUUCCCUGCACCCUCUUCCCGGCCCCCAGACCCUGUUGUUUCUCUGCCACCAAGGACCAGGAUUCUGGCCUAUUUGGGCUGAUGGCUACCAGCCCCUAGAACACAAUCAGUGCUCCAUCAGUGCUGUCUAAUGGACAGCUCUCUUUCUGGCUGGCGCACCCAACAGGCACCACCCAUCUGUGAGACUUGCCUGACCCCAGUGGGUACAUGAGUUUAUGGCCCUGCUCUGUGCCAAGACACCCAUUUUACAGAUGGGAAAACUGAGGCCUUGGGGGCUGCAGAUGGUACAGGACCCAGUGUAGGCCCGAGCCUCUGGACUGAGAGUCCCCUCCCCUGUCCUCACCAUUCUCUGAAAAUCCAGAUGGAAAUGCAUGUCCUCCCACACUGGGACAAGGCCGACAGUGUGGCAUGCCACGCCUGUCCCCAAAGGCCUGGGGUGCAGUGAGGCAGGAAUGGCCUAUGUCGCUAAUAAUGCUGGCAGAUAGGGCCGGUCAGGGUGGGCGGAGGGAAGGAGCAAGGAGAGCAUGGAUAACAGUCCCAGCCAUCACUUUGAUGUUCAGCCCAUGAAACUUCUCAAAUUAUAAAAGAGAAUCACUUUUGAGCCUUUAAGUGGCUCCGAAUAAACCGACUGUCCAAAGAUACAAUGAAAAACCGACACCGGCUCUCCGUAACAAGGCAGGAAAAAUUGUCAGUGCUGAGAUGAAUAUUAAAAGCCCUAUCCGUGAAAAACACCCUGGAAAUAUGUUUUAAAGGAGCAGUGUGAGGCAGACGAUUAU